AGUGAACGCUGGCGGUAGGCCUAACACAUGCAAGUCGAACGGCAGCACAGUAAGAGCUUGCUCUUACGGGUGGCGAGUGGCGGACGGGUGAGGAAUACAUCGGAAUCUACUUUUUCGUGGGGGAUAACGUAGGGAAACUUACGCUAAUACCGCAUACGACCUACGGGUGAAAGCAGGGGAUCUUCGGACCUUGCGCGAUUGAAUGAGCCGAUGUCGGAUUAGCUAGUUGGCGGGGUAAAGGCCCACCAAGGCGACGAUCCGUAGCUGGUCUGAGAGGAUGAUCAGCCACACUGGAACUGAGACACGGUCCAGACUCCUACGGGAGGCAGCAGUGGGGACUAUUAGGCGAUGGGCGAAAGCCUGAUACAGCAAUACCGCGUGGGUGAAGAAGGCCUUCGGGUUGUAAAGCCCUGUUGUUGGGAAAGAAAAGCAGCAGGUUAAUACCCCGCUGUUCUGACGGUACCCAAAGAAUAAGCACCGGCUAACUUCGUG
Molecule: ribosomal RNA, 492 nt
Filed under: uncultured bacterium
Lineage: Bacteria
Description: partial 16S ribosomal RNA
Rfam family: Bacterial small subunit ribosomal RNA
Source: RNAcentral